GUUCGCUACCGACUGACGGCGCUGGCGGCCCCGGGAGGCGGAUGACCGACAGCGCAUCGCGGCGCUGACCCAGCGCCACGUGUGUGCCCGACGUUCGCCCACGGCUGUCGCUUGAUGCCCGUGCCCUGAAUGCCCUCGUUGGAUUCACACGGAAGCCCUGCAGGCAGUGUGCACGCCCUUGCUAAUUUUACCUGAUGAAUUUACGAGGUGAUGUUGUUAUCCACCCAUUUCGCAGAUGAAAAACUGAGGCUCAGAGAAGGUGAGUCACUGGCCCCACAUCUCAGACCCAGUGCGUCUUUGAGAAGAGUUGUUAGUGGUCUGCUGAACGCGGCCUGCACUGGGUGCCCUUGUGGUGGGAGAGGGGCCGGGAGCCUUCCUCUGACUGUGAUGAGCCAGUCCCCGGACCCCCUUUUCCUCUGCCUCUGCUGGAGGUGGAGGCCGAACCCCACCCCCUGGCCCACAAUCCCUGCGGAGCCUGGACAUCGGAGGAGGCCCGGUCGGUCCACCCUGGCCCCUUCGGGACUGCUCUCGGCCUCACUCUCCUUAUCCAGGCCGACCGUGGUCCUGGGUCAGAGAUGGCCCCCAGCCCCUCCUGUGAUGGGGGGGGGACCCGACUUGGAGCCCCACCAGCUUCAUCUCUGCACAGGCAAGGGCCUCCUCCCUUGUCCUGGCCCUUCCCUGCCCCCAGAAAGCCCGAGGGACCAUCCUGGUCAGGCCAUCUGUUUCCUGCCCCUUCGGGAAGGCCGUCCCGCCCAGGCCUUGGCAGCAGAAAUCCCGCAUCUCCUGUCCCCACGCCCCUCCGUGCCCGGGGUCCUGGCCCUGGGAUGGCUGGCUUAGUGCGACCACGGCCCGGCUGCCUGUUGGGCUCCCGCAGCCCCUCCGGCGGGGCCUCCGCCCUUUUGGCGUCCGUCUCCUGCCCCUGCCCUCCUGGCCCAUUGUCUUUCCCCAGAAGCAGGGUGUGGGGCAGCCCGGGAGCCCGGGACCAUUCCUUUUCCUGCUGUGGAGCCAGUGACAAUGAUGUCCCACACCCCGCCCCUGUGCACAGGGGCCACGAGCUUUCCCUGUCCGGGGGUCUCAGCCCGUACUCGGAGGAGGGGCCCCAUGCAGAGCUUCCCUCAGACCCAGGCCUCGUGCCCCCAGCCCGGAAGUGGCUCCUCUUGGGCAAUAUUCCAAACAUCGGUUUGCAAGGACUUUCCCUUCAGAGGUGAAAAGCCCUCACCUGGGCUAAGCUCCAGAUUCAGAGCCAGGGAACCUCUCGGUGCUUCCUGAAGACUGUGCAUGGACGCUGCCAGCCUCCGACCCGGCUCCUGCUCUCGACACAGCGGGCUUGGAUCUGUAAGCUGUGUGGUUCUGUUCUCCUCGGGAGGCCGCGUUCCUGGAUUCAUCCUGCAGGCACCUACUGGGACGUGGACCUGCUCGGCCCGGGAACAGACAGGGGCAGUGCCCGAACCCACAACGCGCCUGGGCCCGCGGGCAUCUGAUCCCAGCCCAACAAACAACCAGCGCGGAAAUGGGGACGCAGGUUGCUUGAGGCCGUGUCUGCUGGGCUGAGUGAAGGGAGCGCAGACGUGAACGAGGCCACGGUGGCCGGGGUGGGGGCGCGUGGCCACGGACUGGGUCAGCACAGGCCAACAGAGCUGCUCGUGAUGAUGGAUGUCGCACAUCCACGCUGUGACCCGAGAGCCCUGGAAACCGGCUUUCUAGUUGCCCUGAUUUGUAAUUACCUUAAAUUUCACUAGGAUCGCACGGCCAGCAGCUGUUGUGUUGGGCAGCACCGUCCUAGGCAGGGAUGGCCACGUGCCUGUCCCCUGGGGCUGGAGGCCGCUCACGUGUCUGAGGAGCCAGAGGAGGACAGUCAGAGGCACAGCGGGCAGCGAGGUGCAAGAGGGUGGUUCUUUUUGAUUCUAGAUGACGUGUUUCCGGUUUUUUUCAGCCCCGGGAGCUGCGGGUCAGUUGUAGUAUGCAAUCCCGAGUGAGGACGAGAGUUGCCCAGCCGACCCUGGGCUUGCACCCUUGCUCCCCUUAGCGGAGGACGUCAGGGGGAAGCUGCGAAGGGGCAGCUGCUCCUGAUGUCCCAGAAGGCAGGUGCAUUAGUGAGGCUCCCCAGAGAAACAAACCACUAGGUUCCUGCGAAGCCCUUCCGCUCCAUCCAGACUUCCUGACUCAGUCCACCGAUCCCAGUGUUCACCUCAUCCAGAAACAUCCUCACGGACACGCCCAGAGCGAUGCUUGACCCGAUGUCUGGGCCGCCUACGGCCAGUCAAGUUGACGCACAGAGUUACCCAUCAUAGCAGCUCUGCAACUCCGCUUUGGCCGUGCCUGAUCCAGGAGAGACAACCGACCGGAGACGCCACGUUCGGAGGCUACCUGGAGCCCUGUGGCCAGUGCAACCAGGCUUCCAGCAAUGAGCCGGACAAUCAGAACUUCUCUCUGUCACGGGGCUGGGACUCAGGAACUUGAAGAAUCACUACCUGGCCUGUCUGUACCAUAGCCUCGUCUCUCCAGGGAGGAGGGCACCACUGACCAUCUCUGUUUGCCACAGAAUUAAGAGGAUGAGGACCGUUUUUGCCAGGGCUGUCUCCAGUAUUGGAAACUCCCCUGGUGUCUUGCAUGGAGAUGGACAAAAUGUAGGCACACAGAAAAUACUCCUGAACGGACUGCAAGUUUCCACUGGAGAAGAAGAAAACUUCCUUCUCGAGAAGCCGACAGCCACCAGCCAGGGCAGAGCCUGCCUGCCAGCAGCCUGCAGGGCCCCCCCCCCCCCAUGCCUGAGGGCUUUCUAGACCCUGCAGCUCCUCUUUGGGGGCUGUCUUCCCCCCAGCCUCUGGGGUCCCCAUCACCCUCUGCAAAUUGUGCUUCGUCUCUUACCACUUGUGACUCCACGUUCCCUCCCCCGGGUCUGUGCUCCACGGUCCCCAUGCCCGUGGGCCACCCUUUCCUCUGCCCAGUGAGCUCCUCACCAUCCUGCCAGGCUCCUGGGGAGACCUUCGGACUCACAUCAGCAGGCAGCGGGGAGCAGGGGGAGGGUGUGGGCCCAGGAGAGGGAGGCGAUAGGAGUCAGAACCACCCCUGCUGGCCCCUCACGUGAUGACUCUUGGGGGGUGCUGGUCUGCCCCCUCCCUGUCGGGCCCCCACACCAGAGAGACCACCUCUGCUCUCCCCCCGGGCUGGGCCCACCCAGAGUUCCAAGGCCCGGGACCUGCUCCUCACACGGCCUCUGGCUCUCUGCUCGGCCGCAGUUUUUCCAUGGCCCCGGCAGCGAGUCAUGCCAUGGGCGCUGAAAGCCUCCAUGACCUUCAAGUGAACGUUCACAUCUUAGCCCGAGACGUCCCAUUAUCUUCACUCUUUUAGCUUCACAUACUUUUCAGGGGUUGCUUGCCCUGGUGCCUCCCUCGUGUCCUACUGGGCUGUCCUCGUUUUCUCCAUCUGUAAAACAGGCAAGUGCUGAUGCCCCCUGCCAGGCUCCAUGCGGGACUCACUUCGAGGACUCACCCAGGCCUGGUCUCACGUACCUCGGGGUUAUCGCUUUCUGAGCUCUGACCUCACCAAUCAGAGGGCUGGAACCCACCACCUUCAAAUGAAAACGGACCUUGGGGUUUGGACACUCAGGGCCAGUGCAGUCGAGGGCCCCCCUAGGGUCACCCAGCUGCCGGGCAGAGGGACGGCACAAUCAAGCUUCCUGUUGGAGGCCGUUCGGUGAGAGCUGGGCUGCUCUCCCAGGCCACCGGGAGACUUUUGGGAGGGCAGCAUCCUGGUUGGAGACUUUUGGGAGGGCAGCAUCUGUUAGUGCAGACUCCGGUGGGGUCCGUCUGCGGGAUCCCUGUCCCUAUGGCCCUCCCUGUGGGCCUCCCUGUAAGCUCUGUACCCCUGGGCUUGCCCUGCAGCUGUACCCCAGUCUCUUCCAGCCGGAGGGAGCCAGGAGGGGCUGCCGUGGGCCCAUCUGAUGAUGAGCUGUAUGGAGGGCGGGCUUGGUGAGUCAAGUGGCAGGGUCCCCACGCCCUUCCCACGCACCUUAUUUACUCACCCAUCACUUGUGCAUUCCAGCAGGCAUAAGACAGAUGGUCCUUGUCUCCCUGAAAUGAACAUCUCUGGUUGGCGUGACGAAUCUGGAGGCCAGAUGAGACUGUCACUGCAGCUGGAUCUGUGUGUCCGCCUCCCUGUCCUGUCCGUGUCCCAGCCCCAUCACUGUACAUCCAGGCCCCCCCCACAGCGAAGUCUCGGUCCCCACCUGCCCCUCCGGCCAGCCUUAGCAUGUGGGGGUCGGGGCUAAAACAGAAGCCUGAACCCCGAGUCAGGGUCAUUUUUUUUUUUAAAUUUUUUUUUUCAACGUUUAUUUAUUUUUCUGGGGACAGAGAGAGACA
Felis catus (domestic cat) is the source of this 4361-nucleotide long non-coding RNA. RefSeq lists it as uncharacterized. The record is from RefSeq and is a predicted model, not a curated record. The transcript is spliced from 7 exons. NCBI's taxonomy places the organism in Eukaryota, Metazoa, Chordata, Mammalia, Carnivora, Felidae.